GAUUAUGGCUCAGGAUGAACGCUGACAGAAUGCUUAACACAUGCAAGUCGACUCGAGUCUUCGGACUUGGGUGGCGCACGGGUGAGUAACGCGUAAAGAACUUGCCUCUUAGUCUGGGACAACAUCUGGAAACGGAUGCUAAUACCGGAUAUUAUGGUUUUUUCGCAUGGAGGAAUCAUGAAAGCUAGAUGCGCUAAGAGAGAGCUUUGCGUCCCAUUAGCUAGUUGGUGAGGUAACGGCCCACCAAGGCAAUGAUGGGUAGCCGGCCUGAGAGGGUGAACGGCCACAAGGGGACUGAGACACGGCCCUUACUCCUACGGGAGGCAGCAGUGGGGAAUAUUGGACAAUGGACUGCAAGUCUGAUCCAGACCAAUUCUGUGUGCACGAUGACGUUUUUCGGAAUGUAAAGUGCUUUCAGUCGGGAAGAAGUCAGUGACGGUACCGACAGAAGAAGCGACGGCUAAAUACGUGCCAGCCGCUGC
This 482-nucleotide ribosomal RNA is filed under the name uncultured bacterium. Its description in RNAcentral is "bacterial SSU rRNA". It matches the Rfam family "Bacterial small subunit ribosomal RNA", at positions 15 to 518 of the family's 1533-position model. The record is from RNAcentral.